Molecule: ribosomal RNA, 496 nt
Filed under: uncultured bacterium
Lineage: Bacteria
Description: partial 16S ribosomal RNA
Rfam family: Bacterial small subunit ribosomal RNA
Source: RNAcentral
GAUGAACGCUGGCGGCGUGCCUAAUACAUGCAAGUCGAGCGAACAGACGAGGAGCUUGCUCCUCUGACGUUAGCGGCGGACGGGUGAGUAACACGUGGAUAACCUACCUAUAAGACUGGGAUAACUUCGGGAAACCGGAGCUAAUACCGGAUAAUAUAUUGAACCGCAUGGUUCAAUAGUGAAAGACGGUUUUGCUGUCACUUAUAGAUGGAUCCGCGCCGCAUUAGCUAGUUGGUAAGGUAACGGCUUACCAAGGCAACGAUGCGUAGCCGACCUGAGAGGGUGAUCGGCCACACUGGACCUGAGACACGGUCCAGACUCCUACGGGAGGCAGCAGUAGGGAAUCUUCCGCAAUGGGCGAAAGCCUGACGGAGCAACGCCGCGUGAGUGAUGAAGGUCUUCGGAUCGUAAAACUCUGUUAUUAGGGAAGAACAAAUGUGUAAGUAACGAUGCACGUCUUGACGGUACCUAAGCAGAAAGCCACGGCUAACUACGU